UUUCCUUCAAAAAAUUCAAAUUGAAGUAAUGAUAUUCAGGAAUUUCGAUUUGCUUUAUAAUUUAUGACGUAGUUUACUCGUUUCUUUCGUAAUUUGGGACCAUGCCAUCAUUAUUUUUCAUUGACACCCCGAGGGCAUAAUAAUUGUCAGUGGAUGGUCAACUUUUCUUCAUGUUUCAACCGCAAAAACCUGACAGGCGAACAACAAAUCGAAUUAGAUAAUGAACAUCCGACACCCCCUGGGCCCGCAAGGGUUAACCGCAAGGGCAGUGGCUGUAGCUGGGGCUAGGGAAGGUUAAGGCCAGGCCAAUGCCGCAGGACAAACAAAAGGCAAAAACAUUUUAAUGAGCGCAGAUGAGAUGACAAAGCCACGGGGAAAACUGGCAAAGGGGAUGGUGAAUGGAAAUGGGUAUGGGGUCAGGGAAUAACAAUGCUGAUUACAUGCAAAU
This is a non-coding RNA of Drosophila melanogaster (fruit fly), 448 nucleotides long. The record is from Ensembl. Lineage: Eukaryota; Metazoa; Arthropoda; Insecta; Diptera; Drosophilidae.